RNAcentral lists this ribosomal RNA (462 nucleotides) under uncultured bacterium. RNAcentral's name for it is "partial 16S ribosomal RNA". It matches the Rfam family "Bacterial small subunit ribosomal RNA", at positions 28 to 507 of the family's 1533-position model. The record is from RNAcentral.
GACGAACGCUGGCGGCGUGCUUAACACAUGCAAGUCGAACGGAAAGGCCCUUCGGGGUACUCGAGUGGCGAACGGGUGAGUAACACGUGGGUGAUCUGCCCUGCACUUUGGGAUAAGCCUGGGAAACUGGGUCUAAUAUCGAAUAUGAUCAUCGGCUUCAUGGUCGGUGGUGGAAAGCUUUUGCGGUGUGGGAUGGGCCCGCGGCCUAUCAGCUUGUUGGUGGGGUAAUGGCCUACCAAGGCGACGACGGGUAGCCGGCCUGAGAGGGUGACCGGCCACACGGGGACUGAGAUACGGCCCAGACUCGUACGGGAGGCAGCAGUGGGGAAUAUUACACAGUGGGCGCGAGCCUGAUGCAGCGACGCCGCGUGAGGGAUGACGGCCUUCGGGUUGUAAACCUCUUUCAGCACAGACGAAGCGCAAGUGACGGUAUGUGCAGAAGAAGGACCGGCCAACUACGUG